RNAcentral lists this ribosomal RNA (504 nucleotides) under uncultured Actinomyces sp. RNAcentral describes it as "partial 16S ribosomal RNA". Lineage: Bacteria; Bacillati; Actinomycetota; Actinomycetes; Actinomycetales; Actinomycetaceae. The record is from RNAcentral.
CACGUAGUUAGCCGGCGCUUCUUUACCCACUACCCUCACCACAACCCAAAGCUGCGGCUUGACCAUGAGCGAAAGAGGUUUACAACCCGAAGGCCUCCAUCCCUCACGCGGCGUCGCUGCAUCAGGCUUUCGCCCAUUGUGCAAUAUUCCCCACUGCUGCCUCCCGUAGGAGUCUGGGCCGUAUCUCAGUCCCAAUGUGACCGGUCACCCUCUCAGGCCGGCUACCCGUCAAAGCCUUGGUAGGCCAUCACCCCACCAACAAGCUGAUAGGCCGCGAGCCCAUCCCCCACCAGAAAAAACCCUUUCCACCAACCCCCAUGCGAAGGCAAGUGAAUAUCCAGUAUUAGCACCCGUUUCCGGGCGUUAUCCCAAAGAAGGGGCAGGUUACUCACGUGUUACUCACCCGUUCGCCACUCAUCCACCCAACAAAAGCUGAGCUUCAGCGUUCGACUUGCAUGUGUUAAGCACGCCGCCAGCGUUCGUCCUGAGCCAGGAUCAAACUCU